GGGUGAGUAACACGUGAGAAACCUACCCUGGAGUGGGGAAUAACUCGAAGAAAUUCGAGCUAAUACCGCAUACCUUCUUACCGUCGAAUGGUGGUUUGAAGAAAGAUUUAUCGCUCUGGGAGGGUCUCGCGGCCUAUCAGCUAGUUGGUGAGGUAACGGCUCACCAAGGCAUCGACGGGUAGCUGGUCUGAGAGGACGAUCAGCCACACUGGAACUGAGACACGGUCCAGACUCCUACGGGAGGCAGCAGUAGGGAAUCUUGCGCAAUGGGCGAAAGCCUGACGCAGCAAUGCCGCGUGCGGGACGAAGGCCCUAGGGUCGUAAACCGCUUUCAGUAGGGACGAAAAUGACGGUACCUGCAGAAGAAGCUCCGGCCAACUACGUGCUAGCAGCCGCGGUGAUACGUAGGGAGCAAGCGUUGUCCGGAAUUACUGGGCGUAAAGGGCUCGUAGGUGGUCGAGUAAGUCAGAUGUGAAAUCUCAGGGCCCAACCCUGAGCGUGCAUUUGAUACUGCUCUGACUAGAGUCCGGUAGGGGAGUGCGGAAUUCCUGGUGUAGCGGUGAAAUGCGCAGAUAUCAGGAGGAACACCGACAGCGAAGGCAGCACUCUGGGCCGGUACUGACACUGAGGAGCGAAAGCAUGGGUAGCAAACAGGAUUAGAUACCCUGGUAGUCCAUGCCGUAAACGUUGGGCACUAGGUGUGGGGAGAACUCAACUCUCUCCGCGCCGUAGCUAACGCAUUAAGUGCCCCGCCUGGGGAGUACGGCCGCAAGGCUAAAACCCAAAGGAAUUGACGGGGGCCCGCACAAGCGGCGGAGCAUGUUGCUUAAUUCGAGGCAACGCGAAGAACCUUACCUGGGUUGAACUACGUGGGAAAAGCCGCAGAGAUGCGGUGUCCUUCGGGGUCCACGAUAGGUGGUGCAUGGCUGUCGUCAGCUCGUGUCGUGAGAUGUUGGGUUAAGUCCCGCAACGAGCGCAACCCUUGUCCUAUGUUGCCAGCGGGUAAAGCCGGGGACUCGUAGGAGACUGCCGGGGUCAACUCGGAGGAAGGUGGGGACGACGUCAAGUCAUCAUGCCCCUUAUGUCCAGGGCUGCAAACAUGCUACAAUGGCCGGUACAACGGGCAGCUAAACCGCGAGGUCAAGCGAAUCCCACAAAGCCGGUCUCAGUUCGGAUUGAAGUCUGCAACUCGACUUCAUGAAGCUGGAGUCGC
This 1213-nucleotide ribosomal RNA is filed under the name metagenome. RNAcentral describes it as "bacterial SSU rRNA". It matches the Rfam family "Bacterial small subunit ribosomal RNA", at positions 104 to 1335 of the family's 1533-position model. The record is from RNAcentral.